GCUAUACAUGCAGUCGAGCGAAGAGAUGGGAGCUUGCUCCCUGAUCUUAGCGGCGGACGGGUGAGUAACACGUGGGCAACCUGCCCUGCAGACUGGGAUAACUCCGGGAAACCGGAGCUAAUACCGGGUAAUACAUCGCACCGCAUGGUGCAAUGUUGAAAGUUGGCCUUUGGAUAACACUGCGGGAUGGGCCCGCGGCGCAUUAUCUAUUUGGUAAGGUAACGGCUUACCAAGGCGACAAUGCGUAUCCGACCUGAGAGGGUGAUCGGCCACACUGGGACUGAGACACGGCCCACACUCCUACGGGAGGCAGCAGUAGGGAAUCUUCCCCAAUGGACAAAAGUCUGACAGAGCAACGCCCCGUGAGUGACAAAAGCCUUCUGGUCGUAAAGCUCUGGUGAUAGGGAAAAACAAGUAUCGUUCGAAUAGCGCUAUAUUGUGAGUGUAUAUACACAGAGCGACGCCUAUAACUACGUGAGAACACGCGCUAUAUACAUGUGUCACGCGUGUGUCCGAAUAUAUUGGGCGUAGCGCGCGCGCGCGCUCUCUUAGACUGAGAUGUGAGCCCCACCUCUCAGUGUGAGUCACAUGAACUCUAGAGACGAGUGUGCAGAGAGAGAGUGGAUACGCGUGUAGCUGUGAUGUGCAUAUAUGUGUAGAGACACGUGUCGCGAGCGCUCUCUCUGCUCUGAAUCUGACUCAGACGCGCAAACGUGUGACACACCGGUAUAUAUACUGUGAUAGUCACCUGUACACGAUGAGUGCUAUGUGUUGGGGGGUUCCACCCUCACUGCUGAAAUUAACACAUUAUACACUCCGCCUGGGGAGUACGACCGCAAGGUUGAAACUCACAGGAGUUGACGGGGGGCCCGCACAAGCAGUGGAGCAUGUGGGUUAAUUCUAAGCAACGCGAGAACCUUACAACGGCUCGACAUCCUCUGACAUCCUGGAGACAGGACAUUCUCCUCUUGGGGGACACAGUGACACGUGUUGCAUGGUUGUCGUCAGCUCUGUGUGAGAUGUUGGGUUAAUUUCGCAACGAGAGCAACUUGAUCUUAGUUGUCAGCAUC
Molecule: ribosomal RNA, 1070 nt
Filed under: Bacillus sp. (in: firmicutes)
Lineage: Bacteria; Bacillati; Bacillota; Bacilli; Caryophanales; Bacillaceae
Description: bacterial SSU rRNA
Rfam family: Bacterial small subunit ribosomal RNA
Source: RNAcentral